CGAAAGCUCUGCUCCUCGAGCUCUUUUAGAUAGUAUGUUCCAGGCCGAACUACCUCCUUGACUUCAUACGGGCCUUCCCAAUUCGGGGUAAAUUUUUCUUGAUUCUGAGGUUGUGAGACAGCGGCUCGCCGAAGUACCAGAUCCCCCGCUCUGAAGGCUUUGCUUUUGACCCAAGAAUUGUAGUAGCGGGCUACUUUCUACUUGUAAGCCACCAUCCAAACUCGAGCUGUCUU
Molecule: long non-coding RNA, 233 nt
Filed under: Elaeis guineensis (African oil palm)
Lineage: Eukaryota; Viridiplantae; Streptophyta; Magnoliopsida; Arecales; Arecaceae
Description: long non-coding RNA (EGUI_LNC081485)
Source: RNAcentral